This is a non-coding RNA of Pelobates cultripes (western spadefoot toad), 336 nucleotides long. NCBI's taxonomy places the organism in Eukaryota, Metazoa, Chordata, Amphibia, Anura, Pelobatidae. The record is from the annotation of a GenBank genome assembly.
CUGCUCGGUCUGACCACUAGUCAUUCUAUGAUUUUAAUUGACCUAAUUGCUUCUGCUAAUUUGACUUGAGUUGAUCAAAUUUGUUAUCCUCCCUAAUCAAAGACAUGGGAUGGCUAAAUCUGCAUUUAAAGGACAACUGUCAUGAAAAGAUCAUCUAAAUGGGCAUUAAAUAAAGGUUUAUAGGAAUGAGAAAAUGCCUGGGAAAUUGAUACGGGGAGAGAGAUAUGAUAUAUUUAGCCUGCCCUUCCAUGAAGACAAAACUUGGUGAUGACAAAUUAUUUUUACCACCCUUGGCAGAUCAUAUAGAUCUAGUGCUUGGAAGACUGUUUAAAGGAC